RNAcentral lists this ribosomal RNA (541 nucleotides) under uncultured archaeon. RNAcentral describes it as "bacterial SSU rRNA". It matches the Rfam family "Archaeal small subunit ribosomal RNA", at positions 554 to 1092 of the family's 1478-position model. The record is from RNAcentral.
GGCGCUCAACGUCAGGGAUUCCGGGGAGACUGCGUGUCUUGGGACCGGGAGAGGUCGGAGGUACUCCCGGGGUAGCGGUGAAAUGCUGUAAUCCUGGGGGGACCACCUGUGGCGAAAGCGUCCGACUUGAACGGCUCCGACGGUGAGGGACGAAGGCCAGGGGAGCAAACCGGAUUAGAUACCCGGGUAGUCCUGGCUGUAAACGCUGCCCGCUGGGUGUUGCCGGUCUUUCGGGGGCCGGCAGUGCCGGAGCGAAGGUGUUAAGCGGGCCGCUUGGGGAGUACGGCCGCAAGGGUGAAACUUAAAGGAAUUGGCGGGAGAGCACUGCAACGGGAGGAGCGUGCGGUUUAAUUGGAUUCAACGCCGGAAAACUCACCGGAGGCGACCGGCAUGUGUGGGCCAAGCUGACGACUUUGCUCGAAUAAGAGCCGGAGAGGUGGUGCAUGGCCAUCGUCAGCUCGUACCAUAGGGCGUUCUCUUAAGUGAGAUAACGAGCGAGACCCCCAUCCUCAGUUGCCAUCUGUCUCUCCGGAGGCAGAGC